RNAcentral lists this RNase P RNA (394 nucleotides) under Bacillota bacterium. RNAcentral describes it as "RNase P RNA component class B". It matches the Rfam family "Bacterial RNase P class B". From Rfam's summary of the family: Ribonuclease P (RNase P) is a ubiquitous endoribonuclease, found in archaea, bacteria and eukarya as well as chloroplasts and mitochondria. Its best characterised activity is the generation of mature 5'-ends of tRNAs by cleaving the 5'-leader elements of precursor-tRNAs. The record is from RNAcentral. Lineage: Bacteria; Bacillati; Bacillota.
GCGUACGGGUAAUCGCUGCAGUGUCGCAUUUGCGAAACUGUAGAGGAAAGUCCAUGCUCGCACAGGCUGAGAUGCUUGUAGUGUUCGUGCCUGGCCAAGUCAUAAGCCAGGGCAGCCGGAAUCCGGUUGACGGCCGGGAAAAUACCUAAGUCCUUUAUGGAUAUGGUAUGAAUACCUAUAAAAGUGCCACAGUGACGGAGCCUUCCCGGAAACGGAAAGGGUGGAACGAGGUAAACCCCACGAGCGAGAAACCCAAACAAUGGUAGGGGCACUUUCCCUAAGGAACUCAACGACGGGAAGGACAGAAUCUCUGAUUCUGUAGAUAGAUGAUUACCACCUAUGUACGAGGCUUUGGCCGUUUGCAGUACGCUGGUACAAAACAUGGCUUACAGGA